RNAcentral lists this long non-coding RNA (543 nucleotides) under Brassica napus (rape). RNAcentral describes it as "long non-coding RNA (BNAP_LNC001322)". The record is from RNAcentral. Lineage: Eukaryota; Viridiplantae; Streptophyta; Magnoliopsida; Brassicales; Brassicaceae.
AAGGUGGAAUAAAGGCUAAGGUGCAGGGUGGGAACUAGCUAAAGAUGAGCUAGCCACUCAGGAUCAGCAAGAUGGAUAAAAAGGAUAAGAAGUCCUGAGUGUGUUCUCGUUUCCCUGAUCUAAUGCCCAUAACAAGAAGAAUUUCAGUCAAGAUUAGGUUCAAGUAAGGUGGAGUUAAGUCUACCCAGUGUAACCUGAUCGGCUGAGAACCUUCUGGAGAAUCAAGUGAGAUAUGUCAGGGUGUUCCAGGUCCACAUGUGUGUCUUUCGCCACUGCUAAGGUCACUGAAUAAGAUAACUAAAGCACGAGGUGGUUAGUGAUCAACACGGAAUAAGGUCCUAAUUCCCACAAAAUUUUGACUGACUCAAUAAAAACUGACUCGAAUUGACCCAAAAGAAAAACAAAAGAAAGAAACGAGUUAGUAAACGACGAAAACCCUCCUCCAGACUUACUUCACAACGUCCCUGGUGUGAAAAUAAAUCAGAGAGAAGGUGAAAUCAAGAAUAAACAUUUUUUUUUGUUCGAGAUACUUACCUGGCGCGG